AACUCUUCUGAUCUGUAAAACUAUCUAGCCAUAUUUCCUUGUAUUUUGUUAUUUCAGGCCAGAGCAAUUGAAAUUUAACUGUGAAUCGUGGGCAAGUGGAGUUAUCAAUUUUGAAGAGAAUCAAACAGGAAGAUCCUUUAUCAAAAGUCAGGAUGAAUUAAGGAAUGUGGAAUGAGGUACCUCUAUACCGAAC
This 193-nucleotide long non-coding RNA is filed under the name Fukomys damarensis (Damara mole-rat). Its description in RNAcentral is "lncRNA (ENSFDAG00000023951.1)". Lineage: Eukaryota; Metazoa; Chordata; Mammalia; Rodentia; Bathyergidae. The record is from RNAcentral.